Molecule: transfer RNA, 73 nt
Filed under: Camelus bactrianus (Bactrian camel)
Lineage: Eukaryota; Metazoa; Chordata; Mammalia; Artiodactyla; Camelidae
Also listed under: 2 other names
Rfam family: tRNA
About the family: Transfer RNA (tRNA) molecules are approximately 80 nucleotides in length. Their secondary structure includes four short double-helical elements and three loops (D, anti-codon, and T loops).
Source: Rfam by way of RNAcentral
GAAGGUAUAGCUCAAGUGGUAGAGUACAUGCUUAGCAUGCACGAGGUCCUGGGUUCAAUUCCCAGUACCUCCU